GGGUGAUUAGUCUAGUGGUAUGAUUCACGCUUAGGGUGCGUGAGGUCCCGGGUUCAAUUCCCGGAUCACCCC
Tritrichomonas foetus is the source of this 72-nucleotide transfer RNA. It matches the Rfam family "tRNA". From Rfam's summary of the family: Transfer RNA (tRNA) molecules are approximately 80 nucleotides in length. Their secondary structure includes four short double-helical elements and three loops (D, anti-codon, and T loops). Lineage: Eukaryota; Parabasalia; Tritrichomonadida; Tritrichomonadidae. The record is from Rfam.